GACGAACGCUGGCGGCAUGCCUAAUACAUGCAAGUCGAGCGAACAGAUGAAGUGCUUGCGCUUCUGACGUUAGCGGCGAACGGGUGAGUAACACUUAAGGAAUCUACCUAUAAGCGGGGGAUAACAUUCGGAAACGGGUGCUAAUACCGCAUAAUAUCUUCUUCCGCAUGGAAGAAGAUUGAAAGAAGGCUCUGCUGUCACUUAUAGAUGACCUUGCGGUGCAUUAGUUAGUUGGUGGGGUAAUGGCCUACCAAGACGAUGAUGCAUAGCCGACCUGGGAGGGUGAUCGGCCACAUUGGGACUGAGACACGGCCCAAACUCCUACGGGAGGCAGCAGUAGGGAAUCUUCCGCAAUGGGCGAAAGCCUGACGGAGCAAUGCCGCGUGAGUGAAGAAGGCCUUCGGGUCGUGAAACUCUGUUAUAAGAGAAGAACAAAUUGUAGAGUAACUGCUACAGUCUUGACGGUAUCUUAUCAGAAAGCCACGGCUAACUACGUGCCAGCCGCCGCGGUAA
Molecule: ribosomal RNA, 513 nt
Filed under: uncultured bacterium
Lineage: Bacteria
Description: partial 16S ribosomal RNA
Rfam family: Bacterial small subunit ribosomal RNA
Source: RNAcentral